CUGGGCCAUUGUCUCCAGUAUCCAUUUGUGCUCCAUCCAUUGUCUAUGGGCAUGCUGAAGAUAGUCGAGUACAGUGCCUGGCCAUCUUUGGCAGGGCUGCCAUCAGAGGGAGAAUAUUGUCUAUGCCAGAAAGGAGAAGGCUUAACAAGGACCUCUCUUCAAUACACUAAUCUCAUGUUGGCCUAUGGUCGGAGUUAGUGCUGCUGUCUACUGUCAGCUGCAAGUUUAUUUUUGACUGUGUUUAGGCCUCAAGCAAAUGGAGAAAUCUGAGAUAAUGAUAGAACCGGCUGCGUACCGGAGUUAUGGUGUCUGGAAUUAUCAGGGACUGAGUUCCGUAUAUCCAUUGGAAUGUGUUCUUUAUAGGAUUUUUAUAUAAUCAUCAUAAGGUUACAUUCACACCUACUGCAUAUGCUGUGGAUUUGAUGUUACUUCAAUAUCAUUUAAACAGUUAAAAGGUACUCCGUUGCUAGACAUUCAGAAUCCUGGGUUGGGACGGCCGUGGUUGUGACGUCAAGCCAUGCCCCCUCCAUUCAUGUCUAUGGGAGGGGACAUAGACAUGAA
Long non-coding RNA from Hyla sarda, 561 nucleotides. RefSeq lists it as uncharacterized. The record is from RefSeq and is a predicted model, not a curated record. The transcript is spliced from 3 exons. NCBI's taxonomy places the organism in Eukaryota, Metazoa, Chordata, Amphibia, Anura, Hylidae.